UGCAGUCGAGCGGACAGAAGGGAGCUUGCUCCCGGAUGUUAGCGGCGGACGGGUGAGUAACACGUGGGUAACCUGCCUGUAAGACUGGGAUAACUCCGGGAAACCGGAGCUAAUACCGGAUAGUUCCUUGAACCGCAUGGUUCAAGGAUGAAAGACGGUUUCGGCUGUCACUUACAGAUGGACCCGCGGCGCAUUAGCUAGUUGGUGGGGUAAUGGCUCACCAAGGCGACGAUGCGUAGCCGACCUGAGAGGGUGAUCGGCCACACUGGGACUGAGACACGGCCCAGACUCCUACGGGAGGCAGCAGUAGGGAAUCUUCCGCAAUGGACGAAAGUCUGACGGAGCAACGCCGCGUGAGUGAUGAAGGUUUUCGGAUCGUAAAGCUCUGUUGUUAGGGAAGAACAAGUGCGAGAGUAACUGCUCGCACCUUGACGGUACCUAACCAGAAAGCCACGGCUAACUACGUGCCAGCAGCCGCGGUAAUACGUAGGUGGCAAGCGUUGUCCGGAAUUAUUGGGCGUAAAGGGCUCGCAGGCGGUUUCUUAAGUCUGAUGUGAAAGCCCCCGGCUCAACCGGGGAGGGUCAUUGGAAACUGGGAAACUUGAGUGCAGAAGAGGAGAGUGGAAUUCCACGUGUAGCGGUGAAAUGCGUAGAGAUGUGGAGGAACACCAGUGGCGAAGGCGACUCUCUGGUCUGUAACUGACGCUGAGGAGCGAAAGCGUGGGGAGCGAACAGGAUUAGAUACCCUGGUAGUCCACGCCGUAAACGAUGAGUGCUAAGUGUUAGGGGGUUUCCGCCCCUUAGUGCUGCAGCUAACGCAUUAAGCACUCCGCCUGGGGAGUACGGUCGCAAGACUGAAACUCAAAAGGAAUUGACGGGGGGCCCGCACAA
RNAcentral lists this ribosomal RNA (891 nucleotides) under Bacillus zhangzhouensis. Its description in RNAcentral is "bacterial SSU rRNA". It matches the Rfam family "Bacterial small subunit ribosomal RNA", at positions 56 to 928 of the family's 1533-position model. Lineage: Bacteria; Bacillati; Bacillota; Bacilli; Caryophanales; Bacillaceae. The record is from RNAcentral.